GACGAACGCUGGCGGCGUGCUUAACACAUGCAAGUCGAACGGAAAGGCCCUGCUUUUGUGGGGUGCUCGAGUGGCGAACGGGUGAGUAACACGCGAGUAACCUGUCCUUGACUUUGGGAUAACUUCAGGAAACUGGGGCUAAUAUCGGAUAGGAGCUCCUGCUGCAUGGUGGGGGUUGGAAAGUUUCGGCGGUUGGGGAUGGACUCGCGGCUUAUGCGCUUGUUGGUGGGGUAGUGGCUUACCAAGGCUUUGACGGGUAGCCGGCCUGAGAGGGUGACCGGCCACAUUGGGACUAAGAGACGGCGCAGACUCCUACGGGAGGCAGCAGUGGGGAAUAUUGCGCAAUGGGCGGGAGCCUGAUGCAACAACGCCGCGUGCGGGAUGACGGCCUUCGGGUUGUGAACCGCUUUCGCCUGUGACGAGGCGUGAGUGACGGUAAUGGGUAAAGAAGCACCGGCUAACUACGUG
RNAcentral lists this ribosomal RNA (468 nucleotides) under uncultured bacterium. RNAcentral's name for it is "partial 16S ribosomal RNA". It matches the Rfam family "Bacterial small subunit ribosomal RNA", at positions 28 to 507 of the family's 1533-position model. The record is from RNAcentral.